RNAcentral lists this ribosomal RNA (1254 nucleotides) under uncultured archaeon. RNAcentral describes it as "bacterial SSU rRNA". It matches the Rfam family "Archaeal small subunit ribosomal RNA", at positions 53 to 1283 of the family's 1478-position model. The record is from RNAcentral.
GCGAGUCGUACGUCUCUCAACCAUGUGAGAGGCGUGGCGGACGGCUCAGUAACACGUUGUCAACCUACCCUGGAGAUGUAGAUAACCCCGGGAAACUGGGACUAAUAUGCAAUAGGCCAUAACUCCUGGAACGGGUUUUGGUCCAAAGGGAAAGGCAGGCAUGUCUACCUUUUCGCUCCAGGAUGGGACUGCGGCCGAUCAGGUUGUUGGUGGGGCAAUGGCCCACCAAGCCUAUAACCGGUACGGGCUUUGAGAGAAGGAGCCCGGAGAUGGACACUGAGAUAAGGGUCCAGGUCCUACGGGGCGCAGCAGGCGCGAAAACUUCACAAUAUGCGAAAGCGUGAUGAGGUUACUCCGAGUGCCACCCGCUGAGGGUGGCUUUUCCUAGGUCUAAAUAGCCUAGGGAAUAAGGGGAGGGCAAGUCUGGUGUCAGCCGCCGCGGUAAUACCAGCUCCCCGAGUGGUCGGGGCGUUUAUUGGGCCUAAAGCAUCCGUAGCCAGCUCUGUAGGUCUCCUGUUAAAUUCAACGGCCCAACCGUUGAGCUGCAGGAGAUACCGCAGGGCUAGGGGGCGGGAGAGGUGGACGGUACUCCGUGGGUAGGGGUAAAAUCCUCUGAUCCGCGGAAGACCACCAGUGGCGAAGGCGGUCCACCAGAACGCGCUCGACGGUGAGGGAUGAAAGCUGGGGGAGCGAACCGGAUUAGAUACCCGGGUAGUCCCAGCUGUAAACGAUGCGAGCUAGGUGAUAGAGCGGCUGCGUGCCACUCUAGUGCCGCAGGGAAGCCGUUAAGCUCGCCGCCUGGGGAGUACGGUCGCAAGACUGAAACUUGAAGGAAUUGGCGGGGGAGCACCACAAGGGGUGAAGCCUGCGGUUCAAUUGGAGUCAACGCCGGGAACCUUACCGGGAGCGACAGCAGGGUGAAGGUCAAGCUGAAGACUUUACCAGACGAGCUGAGAGGAGGUGCAUGGCCGUCGCCAGCUCGUGCCGUGAGGCGUCCUGUUAAGUCAGGCAACGAGCGAGACUCCUGCCGCUAAUUGCUACCACCAGCCGAAAGGGUGGUGGGGCUAGUUAGCGGGACUGCCGUCGCCAAGACGGAGGAAGGAAGGGGCCACGGCAGGUCAGUAUGCCCCGAAACUCCCGGGCCACACGCGGGCUGCAAUGGUAGGGACAAUGGGUUCCGACCUCGAAAGGGGAAGGUAAUCCCGAAACCCAGCCGCAGUUGGAAUCGAGGGCUGAACUCGCCCUCGUGAACAU